Long non-coding RNA from Labrus mixtus (cuckoo wrasse), 3723 nucleotides. RefSeq lists it as uncharacterized. The transcript is spliced from 4 exons. The record is from RefSeq and is a predicted model, not a curated record. NCBI's taxonomy places the organism in Eukaryota, Metazoa, Chordata, Actinopteri, Labriformes, Labridae.
GGAGCUGGAUGUAAGGUUCCCUAGAAUUGCUUAAUGUUCUCAGUGAUAUUAGUGGAGAUAGUUUUCUGUGCCACCUACAGUCAACAGAGCACCACCAUGAUGGGGAGGAUCUUGCUGGGGGUCUUGUGUCUCUCAGGCUGGAACAUCUCCUCAUGCCUUUCUCUUCAGUACCACUACGUAGCAGAUCCUAAGAACUGGACUGAAGCUCAGACCUACUGCAGAGAGAAGUACACAGACCUGGCCACUGUUGAAACCCCAGAAGAAAUGAAACAACUGAACAAGACUGUUUUAUCUUCUGGCAUUAACUUAGAGGUCUGGAUCGGUGUGUACAGAAAACUCUGGAAGUGGUCAGACAACUACACAAACAGUGGAGCUGAAUAUAGGAACUGGGGAAAUAAUAAUCGGAUUAUUAAUUACGAUUUUAAAUGCUACGUCCUUUUUCACAAUGGGGAAUGGUAUGGACAUGACUGCAUUAAUGCUGAAUCAUUCAUUUGCUACAGAGGAUCACAACAGAAUCCUGAAUUUGUUUAUGUCAGUGUUAAAAAGAAUUGGUCCAGUGCUCAGAGGUUCUGCAGGGAGAACUUCAUAGACCUGGCCACUGUGAAGAACCACAGUGAGAACCAGAACAUCCAGAGCUUGGUUCCUGAAUACACUUAUUCAUGGAUGGAUUGUACUGGGAUCCUGACACUUACUGGUCUGAUGGGAGUGGCUCAUCGUUCAGGUGGUUCAGUUAUGGAUAUGGAUACACAUUACACCCCAUGAGUGAAGUAUGUGGAGCAGCAGAUUUGGAGAAUUCAGGAAGAUGGUGGUUAUUAAACUGUGAAACUAAAUGUCCAUUUGUGUGCUACAGCGUCCGUUCAUCUGGUGAGUGAAACUGACCUUCAGUGGAGGAGUGAGAUUUAAGCAUUUCAUGAGAAUAACCAAUUCAAUUAAUUAAACUGUACUGACAUGUCCAAUAUGUAAGAUAUUUACUGAAUUAAAUUAAAAAGUGACCUUGUUAUAUUUUCAUACAUUAAGGAAACAUGUUAUGUUGAAGUGCUGUCCUCCUUCUAACUUUAGAUUCUGGUCCUGACUGAUCUGGAUUUGUAUGGACCAGAGAAGUAGGCAGUUUUCAGGCACCCCCACACGGCCGUUUUGCCACUCACCCCACAGUUAGCAGGCAAAGAGCAAACCAACAGGUUCAGAUAGAAGUGAUUUUACCCGACCUAAAAAGCCUCUGCAUGUUUCUAAUAAGUUCCACGAGCAGAAACGUGCUCAAACUAGGAUCAAUAUUGGAGAUGCUUUUGAAAAAUGGAGAGAGGUUAGAACACAGAAAGGUUUACAGACCGAUGCAGAGCUGGAUAAACACUGAAGCUUCAGUGUCCACCACAUGGCGACGUGUGAGCAUCGACUCUAGAUUGGAGUCGGGGGGGGGGGGGUUAGACAGCUCUCCCUGAAUGUAGUUAUGAAUUUGAACUGCAGUACCCAUUUUAAACACUAGGUGUCAGAGUUACACAUUGCUCGUAGAUCCUACCGAUUGUCUUUAUAAUUACUGGUGUGAAACUGUAAAGAAAUGAAUUUAUUUCUCAGGGAUACAAGCAGAAAAAAAUACAAACAUACAUAGAAAACAAGUUACAGAGGAGCUCCACACAUUUGCCCCCGUGACUUUAAAAGGUGUUUUCAAUUCAUGAGAUAAAACGAUACCGUUUCUUUUAUGCAGGCCCCUGUUUUAGCUAGUCAAGCUAAUAUAACACAUCAUGAGGGUGACGUUUUUCUUCUCUGUUCAUGUGCAGUAGUAAAGAGGCAGGUGAUAAAGCUGAGGAUGAAGCCAGAGAACUACUCUAUGGAUCUAAAUGACCCUGCUGUCAAAGCAGACAUCCUGAACAAGCUCCAGGACCGGCUGAAGAAGAAUGGACUGAGUGGAGUCACCCUGAAGUGGAGAGAGCAGCCUGAUGGGAAAGUUUUCCACAAGGAGAGGAAAAUGUCUAAGAAGAAGAAAAAAAGAGAAAAGACUGAACUGUGAAAGUGAAAUAUAGCUGUAUAGUCUAUCUGUAAUUAGAGAUGGGACAGAUCUGAUCUAAUAUCCGUAUCUAUAACUCAAGACCUACCUUUUUGGUCUGGCUUUUAACUGAAUCUCAUGUUAUCUCAUUUAGUUUUAUCUAUUAACAUAUUUUAUAUGAUAGUUUUUCAUUCUUUUAUUGUGUUGCUUUUGGCAUUUUAUUUUAUAACUUAUUACAUUUAUCUCUAGACUUGUGUGGCACAUUGCUGUGCUAUAAUUGUUUUUAGAUUUCUUCAUCCGUCUCUAUCACUUUUUCUAUAUUAUAGAGCCGCCUCUAUUAUAUCGUUCUCUCCUUGUUUUACAUGUCAUUAUGACGGUUUCUCCUGAUGUUUAGAGUCAUGUAAUUCAAGUUGUUAUGGUAAUCCUCCAGUCACUACAGGCUUUUUCCUGUUGGAGUUGUGUAUUCAUGUAUUUUUAUGUAUUUGGAUUAUCUAUCCAUAGGUAUGUGGACCUUCAAUAAGAAUGUCUUGCAUAGUUUAUAUUAUAUAUUUUUCCUGGUUUUGUACGACACGACCUGUCAGGUGACCUCAGAGGUUGUAUAUGUGGUGUGUCUAUUCACUUGUUCAUGUCUGAUGAAGGGCGAGGGCCGAAUCAUUACAUGAGGUGAUAUUUCCAUUAAAUUUCAUUUAAUUAGAGCAGCUUCUGGUGUGCGGACUUAAGUCUUUUUCCUACUUAAAUUAAAUACUCAGAUAUUGGUGCAUUUAGCAAAAAUACAUCAACUGCACAGUAAACAAUAAUACAACAGGUCAGCCAAUAAGAAGAAAGCACAGCUACAAUGCAUUUAAAAAAAAACUUUGUAGUAUGCAAAUAGCAAUGCACACAGGCUACAGCCACAGACAGCCUACAACAAUGAGGUCUCCAGAGUAUGAGAAGCACACAGCUUCAGUUUGAAAGUGCAAAGAAAAUAUGACACACCUUAAAUACGGAAAGAGUAAAACAGGUCCGCCAAAAAAAAUGAUAACGGCACAACUACAAUGCAACAACAGAAAUUGGAAAGCUCACUGCACACAGCCUCAGUGCAUAUUAUAGCAAUAACCUCAGCAGAGAAAGCACAGAGCUGCAGUGCAAAAAAAAAGAUGACAUCACAAGAAUAUAAAUCCAGAGUGCAUUUCACAAUGCUUUCCCCAGAACAUGACAUUAUGAGGUUCGACCAGUUGAGAACCACUGCUUUAGAAUAUAUGCAAACAGCAUCAGGGCAUAUUAUAAAACUUGGAUUAUUCAAAAAGCACUGCACAGCCACAGAGAGUUUUAAAAUAGUUAUUAGAAUACUGCUACAGAGCACAUCACAAUAAAGUCACCACCAGGAAUAUGAAAUGUGCAAUCCCCAUCUGUUCAUAUUGCAAUAGUGGAUAUGCAAAAAGCAAUGCACAUACAACUACAGUGCAAGAGAAAUAAACAGAUCCUCAAUUCACAAGCCAUAGUCUCUGUCGGAUUGUUCAAGAGCAUUUACUCUUCUACACCUUCAGCCGUUGAUUUCAAGGUAGAGGAUAAGGGCCAAAUAAAUAAUUAGUUUUUUUCACUAUGCACUUAGAAAAUAAAAGACGAAAUUGGAAAACUAAGUCAAAAUGUCUAGAAAGAAGUCCAUAUAUAUAAAAACAUUGUUUUAAAUCCAAUUUCAAGAAUAAAGUAAAAAUGUUGAGAAUUAAGCUGAAAUAAUUUCUUUUUGACUCUUUCUUUUUGAAAUC